AACGAACGCUGGCGGCAUGCCUAACACAUGCAAGUCGAACGAGACCUUCGGGUCUAGUGGCGCACGGGUGCGUAACGCGUGGGAACCUGCCUUUAGGUUCGGAAUAACUCAGAGAAAUUUGAGCUAAUACCGGAUAAUGUCUUCGGACCAAAGAUUUAUCGCCUUUAGAUGGGCCCGCGUAAGAUUAGCUAGUUGGUGGGGUAAGGGCCUACCAAGGCGACGAUCUUUAGCUGGUCUGAGAGGAUGAUCAGCCACACUGGGACUGAGACACGGCCCAGACUCCUACGGGAGGCAGCAGUGGGGAAUAUUGGACAAUGGGCGAAAGCCUGAUCCAGCAAUGCCGCGUGAGUGAUGAAGGCCCUAGGGUUGUAAAGCUCUUUUACCAGGGAUGAUAAUGACAGUACCUGGAGAAUAAGCUCCGGCUAACUCCGUGCCAGCAGCCGCGGUAAU
Molecule: ribosomal RNA, 450 nt
Filed under: uncultured bacterium
Lineage: Bacteria
Description: bacterial SSU rRNA
Rfam family: Bacterial small subunit ribosomal RNA
Source: RNAcentral